AAGUCGUAACAAGGUUUCCGUAGGUGAACCUGCGGAAGGAUCAUUAUAACGUAUCCACGUAUAAACAAACGCGAACGUCCCGUUAGAGGCAAAAACCAGGCAGCUGGUAUGAAGUUAGUCGGCCGAACUGUAAAAUAUGUGCUUCGUCGAUGGAGUUGCUUUACUGGCAGCCAGUUAGCAACUGAAGCACGAGUUCUGGCCCGGUCAAUCCGGACUUCGUUUGCCUCUAACGUGUAUCAACCAUCGGUCCUUAUGUACCUUUUAUAAACCCUUUAAACUUUGAACUGAACUUGUAACUACUGCGGUUGUCCUUGUUGGCUUCGGUCACGGGCAGCGUUAACGCAGUCUUUACUAUCUUACGAAAUAUAAGAACAACUCUUAACAACGGAUAUCUUGGUUCUC
Molecule: unclassified non-coding RNA, 402 nt
Filed under: fungal sp.
Lineage: Eukaryota; Fungi
Description: partial internal transcribed spacer region
Rfam family: Eukaryotic small subunit ribosomal RNA (bases 1-46)
Source: RNAcentral